Molecule: ribosomal RNA, 486 nt
Filed under: uncultured bacterium
Lineage: Bacteria
Description: partial 16S ribosomal RNA
Rfam family: Bacterial small subunit ribosomal RNA
Source: RNAcentral
AUUGAACGCUGGCGGCAUGCCUUACACAUGCAAGUCGAACGGCAGCACGGGUGCUUGCACCUGGUGGCGAGUGGCGAACGGGUGAGUAAUACAUCGGAACAUGUCCUGUAGUGGGGGAUAGCCCGGCUAAAGCCGGAUUAAUACCGCAUACGAUCUACGGAUGAAAGCGGGGGACCUUCGGGCCUCGCGCUAUAGGGUUGGCCGAUGGCUGAUUAGCUAGUUGGUGGGGUAAAGGCCUACCAAGGCGACGAUCAGUAGCUGGUCUGAGAGGACGACCAGCCACACUGGGACUGAGACACGGCCCAGACUCCUACGGGAGGCAGCAGUGGGGAAUUUUGGACAAAGGGCGAAAGCCUGAUCCAGCAAUGCCGCGUGUGUGAAGAAGGCCUUCGGGUUGUAAAGCACUUUUGUCCGGAAAGAAAUCCUUGGCCCUAAUACGGUCGGGGGAUGACGGUACCGGAAGAAUAAGCACCGGCUAACUACGUG